AGCAGUCGCCACGGGAAUACGAAGGGGGCUAGCGUUGCUCGGAAUGACUGGGCGUAAAGGGCGCGUAGGCGGUUUGUACAGUUGGAUGUGAAAUUCCUGGGCUUAACCUGGGGGCUGCAUUCAAUACGUGCAGGCUUGAGUGUGGAAGAGGGUCGUGGAAUUCCCAGUGUAGAGGUGAAAUUCGUAGACAUUCGGAAGAACACCAGUGGCGAAGGCGGCUCACUGGCUCAUUCUAGACGCUGAGGUGCGAAAGCGUGGGGAGCAAACAGGAUUAGAUACCCCCGUAGUCCCUGUCUCUUAUAU
RNAcentral lists this ribosomal RNA (303 nucleotides) under uncultured bacterium. RNAcentral describes it as "partial 16S ribosomal RNA". It matches the Rfam family "Bacterial small subunit ribosomal RNA", at positions 507 to 809 of the family's 1533-position model. The record is from RNAcentral.